GAUGAACGCUGGCGGCGUGCCUAAUACAUGCGAGUCGAGCGAACGGACGAGAAGCUUGCUUUUCUGAUGUUAGCGGCGGACGGGUGAGUAACACGUGGAUAACCUACCUAUAAGACUGGGAUAACUUCGGGAAACCGGAGCUAAUACCGGAUAAUAUUUUGAACCGCAUGGUUCAAAAGUGAAAGACGGUCUUGCUGUCACUUAUAGAUGGAUCCGCGCUGCAUUAGCUAGUUGGUAAGGUAACGGCUUACCAAGGCAACGAUGCAUAGCCGACCUGAGAGGGUGAUCGGCCACACUGGAACUGAGACACGGUCCAGACUCCUACGGGAGGCAGCAGUAGGGAAUCUUCCGCAAUGGGCGAAAGCCUGACGGAGCAACGCCGCGUGAGUGAUGAAGGUCUUCAGAUCGUAAAACUCUGUUAUUAGGGAAGAACAUAUGUGUAAGUAACUGUGCACAUCUUGACGGUACCUAAUCAGAAAGCCACGGCUAACUACGUG
RNAcentral lists this ribosomal RNA (497 nucleotides) under uncultured bacterium. Its description in RNAcentral is "partial 16S ribosomal RNA". It matches the Rfam family "Bacterial small subunit ribosomal RNA", at positions 28 to 507 of the family's 1533-position model. The record is from RNAcentral.